AUUGCUAACGAGUGUAACAUUGCCGUACGUCUCGAAAUCUCGAUGUUUUCUGCUCCACUCUCCUCACCUGGUCACUCCCAAAUCAUCUCCCCCGCGGCUACACAAGGAGCUGGUGAAGUUUCCGACUCCAGUUAUCGUCUUUAUGGCCUUCACGGGGAGAUUAUGAUGGUUGUGGUGCUCUCGAUUUUCGGCCUCUUCAUCGCUUCUCUUCUUGUGUACCUCUAUGUGAAGCGCGAGAGUAAUCGUGGUAGCAAAGAACGAGAUUUAGAGGUGUGACGAAGCGUUAUUUGAUGAGUUCAUGCAUAUAGAGUACUUUGAUAAGAAUUCCGGAGGGACUCAUGGAGUAUUAACUGAUGAGGAAGGCAUCAACAAUUAUAUUGAGCUUUCAUCUAUUAGUAAAGAGGAUAGCCUCAGUUUUAGUGGAGGGUUAUUACAUUACAUAAUCUGUAUAACAUAUAGGGAAUACGAUGAAUUGAUGUUGAUAUAUAAUUUUCUGAAUCCAAAUAUUGAUGCAUUAUUAUGAUAAGUUUCUGGUUUUGAUGUU
Long non-coding RNA from Daucus carota subsp. sativus, 544 nucleotides. RefSeq lists it as uncharacterized. NCBI's taxonomy places the organism in Eukaryota, Viridiplantae, Streptophyta, Magnoliopsida, Apiales, Apiaceae. The record is from RefSeq and is a predicted model, not a curated record. The transcript is spliced from 2 exons.